This 264-nucleotide signal recognition particle RNA is filed under the name Chloroflexota bacterium. RNAcentral describes it as "Chloroflexi bacterium signal recognition particle sRNA large type". It matches the Rfam family "Bacterial large signal recognition particle RNA". Rfam says of the family: The signal recognition particle (SRP) is a universally conserved ribonucleoprotein involved in the co-translational targeting of proteins to membranes. Archaeal SRP consists of a 7S RNA and homologues of the eukaryotic SRP19 and SRP54 proteins. The record is from RNAcentral. Lineage: Bacteria; Bacillati; Chloroflexota.
UCGUGCUAGAUGGGGAGCUAGCGGUGCCCUGUACCCGCAAUCCGCUCUAGCGGGGUUGAAUUCCUGGGUUGAGGGCGGCGACAUGAGAACUACCGACGCCAAGCAGUGAUGAAGUUUGGGUCCCGCGCGGCGGCCCGCCGUGAACCCCGUCAGGUCCGAGAGGAAGCAGCGGUAAGCGGUUGUCGGUCGGGUGACGCGGGAGUGCCUGGGCAGAGCCGGCUAGCGAAGGCAAGCUGAUGAAGUCGUUCGAUCUCAGGUGCACGG